This 301-nucleotide ribosomal RNA is filed under the name uncultured bacterium. Its description in RNAcentral is "partial 16S ribosomal RNA". It matches the Rfam family "Bacterial small subunit ribosomal RNA", at positions 509 to 807 of the family's 1533-position model. The record is from RNAcentral.
CAGUAGCCGCGGUAAUACGAAGGGGGCUAGCGUUGCUCGGAAUGACUGGGCGUAAAGGGCGCGUAGGCGGCGGCCAAAGUCAGGCGUGAAAUUCCCGGGUUCAACCUGGGGGCUGCGUUUGAUACUUGGUUGCUUGAGUGGGGAAGAGGGUCGUGGAAUUCCCAGUGUAGAGGUGAAAUUCGUAGAUAUUGGGAAGAACACCGGUGGCGAAGGCGGCGACCUGGUCCUUUACUGACGCUGAGGCGCGAAAGCGUGGGGAGCAAACAGGAUUAGAUACCCCAGUAGUCCCUGUCUCUUAUAC